This is a non-coding RNA of Schistosoma rodhaini, 45 nucleotides long. NCBI's taxonomy places the organism in Eukaryota, Metazoa, Platyhelminthes, Trematoda, Strigeidida, Schistosomatidae. The record is from Rfam.
AUCCGGCUGACGAGUCCCGAAUAGAACGAAACGAGCAUUCUGGAU